AUUGAACGCUGGCGGAAUGCUUUACACAUGCAAGUCGAACGGCAGCACGGGGGCAGCCCUGGUGGCGAGUGGCGAACGGGUGAGUAAUACAUCGGAACGUGCCCGGUCGUGGGGGAUAACGUAGCGAAAGUUACGCUAAUACCGCAUCCGAUCUGAGGAUGAAAGCGGGGGACCUUCGGGCCUCGCGCGAUCGGAGCGGCCGAUGUCAGAUUAGGUAGUUGGUGGGGUAAAGGCCUACCAAGCCGACGAUCUGUAGCUGGUCUGAGAGGACGACCAGCCACACUGGGACUGAGACACGGCCCAGACUCCUACGGGAGGCAGCAGUGGGGAAUGUUGGACAAUGGGCGCAAGCCUGAUCCAGCCAUUCCGCGUGCAGGACGAAGGCCUUCGGGUUGUAAACUGCCUUUGUACGGAACGAAAAGGCUCUGGCUAAUACCUGGGGCUCAUGACGGUACCGGAAGAAUAAGCACCGGCUAACUACGUG
Molecule: ribosomal RNA, 484 nt
Filed under: uncultured bacterium
Lineage: Bacteria
Description: partial 16S ribosomal RNA
Rfam family: Bacterial small subunit ribosomal RNA
Source: RNAcentral